UACAGAGGGUGCGAGCGUUGUCCGGAAUCACUGGGCGUAAAGGGCGCGUAGGUGGCGGCAUAAGGCUGUGGUGAAAGUCCGGGGCUCAACUCCAGAUCGGCCGCGGCGACUGUGUCGCUUGGGCACCGUAGAGGCAGAUGGAAUUCCGGGUGUAGCGGUGGAAUGCGUAGAGAUCCGGAAGAACACCAGUGGCGAAGGCGGUCUGCUGGGCGGUGGACUCGAAAGAGUCCAAUAGCCGACACUGAGGCGCGACAGCGUGGGGGGCAAACAGG
RNAcentral lists this ribosomal RNA (272 nucleotides) under uncultured Gemmatimonas sp. RNAcentral describes it as "partial 16S ribosomal RNA". It matches the Rfam family "Bacterial small subunit ribosomal RNA", at positions 524 to 776 of the family's 1533-position model. Lineage: Bacteria; Pseudomonadati; Gemmatimonadota; Gemmatimonadia; Gemmatimonadales; Gemmatimonadaceae. The record is from RNAcentral.